GACCAAUCAGCGCGUUCUGCUGCUUUAUGAAUUGCUCUCUCUGAGGCUUCAGCUGCGGAUGACUGUGUGUAUCAACUGCCUGGCGGAGGAAGAGGAGAAAAGCGUGGAAACUAUAAGGCAUUGACCACACACACAGAGUUUCAAACACUGGUGAAGAGGAUUAAGCAGUAGGGUUACAAGAGUUAUCCUGAAUGGCCCAUAUAGGGAAGGAGAAUGUGCCAGAAAACAUCCUGCUUCCAAGGACUUCUGCAGAUCCGGGGCGGAAGGAGAGCACUUUGCUUACAGCGGGUGCCUUGAGCAGCAGUAAGAUUCCAGUGCUGUCCAGAAGAAGGCUUCUUCCAGAGCUGAAGCAAUCUCAGCAGCCACAGAAUCGGUUCCAGCAAGGUUGCCAGCCGAAAAAGACCGACAUUCAUGCAGGUUCAGCACCUGGUUUGGAACUCAGAGUGGGAUUGCAGCCCAAGAACAAUGCCAGAGAGCCCUUGGGGGAGGUGCAGCUAAGCGCAUCCGGUCAUAGGAGCGUCAGCGCUGUGCCUGAUGGCAAAGAGUCAAGCACUGAUGAUUUUGUGCCUGACUUUGCUGCCCUUGCCAGCAUCCUGUCCAACACAGGGCUAACAAAUCACAUGGUGAGUGCCAGCCACAAGCCCAGUCUGGCUCAGCGUAUCCCUCUGAAAGGAAAUAGAGCGUUCUCUGUAAGCACUGGGGUGAGACAAGGUUCUCAAUACAUGGGAGCUUCUGAGACAAAUCUCACUCGAACGUCCCACAUCUCCAGGCCAACUUCAAAAGAUUCAAAUCACCCACAAUCUUGUAGCUUGGUCCUGAAUACUCAGCAACUUAAGAUGCUGUCGAUGUCACUUGAGGAUCCACUGGAGAACUUGAAACCUGGGGUGAAGGGAUCAAAACCUAGCCAGCUAACAAAGAACCUAGAAGGAGGCACAUGCAAAGAUUUAGCUGCCAAAGCUAACGGACUGAGUGGCAUUGCUAAGGGUAGACUUCCUGUGCAGAGCAGCUUGGCUGGAAGGAAGGAGACCAUAGGAACACCAAGCCAAGUGGGCGAGUUUGUGGCAAACCCAGCUGCGAAAGCUAGCAUUCUGUUGAACAUAGGCCUCAGCCAUUCAGCUCCUAGGGCCAAUGGUAAGCUGAGUUUGGCCCAGCGUGUGCCAGUGAAAGAGGGGCAGAGGACACCCGGCACCUCCAGAAACACAACGUGUCGCACCCCUUGGACCUGUAAUCGCAUGCUUCCUCGUUCCUGCACAAAGAACAAGAAGGUGAAUGGUUUAGGUGGGAUUACUCCACAAAAGGACACAACUGAAUCCAAACAAGAUGGCACCAAUACACCCUGGAAGAGUAUUGCUGUGUGCCUCUUUGAAGAUGAAAUGGCUUCGUCACAGAAAGCUUCGUCAAAGGAAGCAUCCACACUUCCUGCGAUCCGUCCAGAAAUGGGAAAACUCCAGCGUAUUGAACUCCUUUCCCAACUCCUGAGGGAUGAGGUGAACAACGGCAUUGAUGACGACAUUUCUCCCUCACUGGCGGAACUGCACAAACUGUUGUUGGUCCAUCAUUCAGCUGUCCAAGAUACUUCUGAGGCUGGUCUCCACACUGCAUCUCCUCCAGAUCCUAGGUUAAAUGUCCACAGGGCAGCAUCAACAUCCACUGUCACUUCUGAAACUCCUCACACCACUACCAGCAGUCAGCCCCAUGACUGUCCCAGUCUCACCAGGUCUUCUGCCUGUCUCCCUUUAUCCAAUACAGUUAAUACAGACAAAGUCAAGCAGCGGUUGGAUGACCUCCUCAGCGCACGCCAUCGCUUCCAUGAGGCCUGCCUGAAUGAUGAGUGUGCCUUCUAUACUGCCCGCAUCCAUUCUCUCCCCCAGGCUUCAGGGCAGCGCUGCAAAGAGCCUGUGGCAAAAAUGCUGGAUGCUCAGGAGGCCAUGCACUUUAUACCCAUUUCUCCUCUGUCACUGCCCACAGAAGAUGUUUGCCCUAAUGAAGAUCUGAGCCUGGAUGCUCACGAUAGGACUGCAGAUGCUGAGACAGCAUGCUGAUGUUUUUCAUCACCUGAAGGCUUAUCUUCUAAACUGGGGGAGAUUCUAAAUCUUACCUUCUAAACCUUGGAAUAUUCAUCUCCAGCUGCUGCCUACUAGACUCAAUGGCUACCAGUAAAUGUCCCCGUGAUGCGGAAUCACAAUGGAUAUGGAACCAAGAUCCUUUCCCUAUUCCUUGUCUGAAAGCAUCUGUUGCUUGGUGGAAGCAGGUGCCUGGUGACUUGGGCCGUAAGGUUUCACAUUUUGCACUGAACUGGGAAAUGUUGCUACAGAAGACAACAUACUAACAUUGUACAUUAACUCCAUUUGAUCAGCAUUUUUUUAAACAAUAAUUAAACCACUGAAAACAAAAGACACCUCCUGUUACUUUGAAAUGGUUAUCUGCUGGAUGUCUGUCUUUCCAAUCAGUAGGCUCAGUUUCUUUGGCUUUUGUUUUAGGUUCUCUCUGUGUAAAUCGGUCUUCCUGUUUUGCUGGGAGGUCUUUUUUGCUGUUUCAUAUUGAGGGCUAGGGAAAGAUACAGGAAGUUGAAGCUAGGCACUGGCCCUGAUUUCACUUAAAUUAGCAUUGACUUCUAGUAAGGUUGGUUAGGAACGCUUUAUGGACUGGGCUUCAGUCAUAGAAGAGCCUGAACCCCCAUUAAAGGUUCUAGUCUUUGCAGUUUUAAAUGACGUUUUAAAUUUUAGUAAUACAAAAUCUCCAUUUUAAAGUUUUUUUAAUUGCCAAGUUCUCUUGGGAGACUUUUUUAGUGAUUAAAAUAAAAACGUUGGCUGAUCUGAAGCA
RNAcentral lists this long non-coding RNA (2823 nucleotides) under Salvator merianae (Argentine black and white tegu). Its description in RNAcentral is "lncRNA (ENSSMRG00000005493.1)". Lineage: Eukaryota; Metazoa; Chordata; Lepidosauria; Squamata; Teiidae. The record is from RNAcentral.